Molecule: ribosomal RNA, 744 nt
Filed under: uncultured bacterium
Lineage: Bacteria
Description: bacterial SSU rRNA
Rfam family: Bacterial small subunit ribosomal RNA
Source: RNAcentral
AGCGGCGGAUGGGUGAGUAACACGUGGGGAACCUGCCCCUAAGUCUGGGAUACCAUUUGGAAACAGGUGCUAAUACCGGAUAAUAAAGCAGAUCGCAUGAUCAGCUUUUGAAAGGCGGCGUAAGCUGUCGCUAAGGGAUGGCCCCGCGGUGCAUUAGCUAGUUGGUAAGGUAACGGCUUACCAAGGCGACGAUGCAUAGCCGAGUUGAGAGACUGAUCGGCCACAUUGGGACCGAGACACGGCCCAAACUCCUACGGGAGGCAGCAGUAGGGAAUCUUCCACAAUGGACGCAAGUCUGAUGGAGCAACGCCGCGUGAGUGAAGAAGGUUUUCGGAUCGUAAAGCUCUGUUGUUGGUGAAGAAGGAUAGAGGUAGUAACUGGCCUUUAUUUGACGGUAAUCAACCAGAAAGUCACGGCUAACUACGUGCCAGCAGCCGCGGUAAUACGUAGGUGGCAAGCGUUGUCCGGAUUUAUUGGGCGUAAAGCGAGCGCAGGCGGAAAAAUAAGUCUAAUGUGAAAGCCCUCGGCUUAACCGAGGAACUGCAUCGGAAACUGUUUUUCUUGAGUGCAGAAGAGGAGAGUGGAACUCCAUGUGUAGCGGUGGAAUGCGUAGAUAUAUGGAAGAACACCAGUGGCGAAAGGCGGCUCUCUGGUCUGCAACUGACGCUGAGGCUCGAAAGCAUGGGUAGCGAACAGGAUUAGAUACCCUGGUAGUCCAUGCCGUAAACGAUGAGUGCUAAGUGU